AACCUGCCCAAUGAAAAGUUUAAUGGCCGCAGUAUUUUGACUGUGCAAAGGUAGCAUAAUCAUUAGUUUCUUAAUUAGAAACUGGAAUGAAAGGUUGGACGAGAAAAUAACUGUCUCUUUUUAAAUUAUUUAGAAUUUUAUUUUUAAGUUAAAAAGCUUAAAUAAAUUUGAUAGACGAGAAGACCCUAUAGAGUUUUAUAUAAUUAUUUUAAUAAUUUAGAUUGAAUUUUAAGAAUUUUAUUUAAUAUUAUAUUUAGUUGGGGUGAUUAAAAAAUUUAAUUAACUUUUUUUUUAUGUAUCCAUUAAUAUAUGAAUUUUUGAUCCAUAAUUUAUGAUUAAAAGAUUAAAUUACCUUAGGGAUAACAGCGUAAUUUCUUUUUAGAGUUCUAAUCGAUAAAGAAGAUUGCGACCUCGAUGUUGGAUUAAAAUAAAUUUUUGGUGUAGAAGCUAAAAAAUUAGGUCUGUUCGACCUUUAAAAUUUUACAUGAUCUGAGUUUAAACCGGUGUGAGCCAGGUUGGUUUCUAUCUUUAAAUUUAUAAAGUAUUUUAGUACGAAAGGACCAAAUAUUUGUAAUAUUUAU
Molecule: ribosomal RNA, 581 nt
Filed under: Dadobia immersa
Lineage: Eukaryota; Metazoa; Arthropoda; Insecta; Coleoptera; Staphylinidae
Description: partial 16S ribosomal RNA
Rfam family: Bacterial large subunit ribosomal RNA
Source: RNAcentral